GCAGAGCUGCGUCUGGAGUGGCCUCGCCCUGGGCUCUGAGGAAAUGCAGCAAGGCAACACAACUGAGGACUGCGCCCUGGGGGCCCUUUCUCCCAGAGGCUCUGCCCAAGGCCAGCGUGAUGUCCCAAGGGGCACAACUGCAGCUGUGACUACUGCCUGCCCUCCGGAGGACCCGCAGACCACAGCUGACCAAUGGAUGUGGAAGGGCUGGGGGCUGCCCUGGGAGGUCUGAUGAAAGUCUGUGGGGAUGCCUGAGUGUCUUCCAGCACCGGCUGGGAUUUAAUGCGGCUCAGUUCAAAAGCCCACGGCCGAGACUGUCAAGGCUGGCCAUUGCAUCUUGGCCAACCUGGGCGGUACACCCCACUCUGAGGUGUACCUUGAAACAGUCGAGAAAACCCGGGGAGGCAUAAAGGACUUCUCUUGACUGUUUCAAGGAACACCUUGAAGUGUAUGCUUGAUUGUACACACCUGGGCACAGAUGCACCCCUGGCCUUCUCUGCAGCCUAUGGUGGGGGAACUGGCAGCAGAGAAGGGCCACGGGUGGUGAUUUGCUUUCUAUGUCAACUGGAAGGGCAAACAGUGAUUUCAAACAUUACUUUCAGCAAUGUUAUGAACUUAAUCUCAAAAAGCCUCAGAAAAUUUCUUACCUGACAAAUUCAUCUCUGAAAACCAACCAUCCACUGUCAAUGAGAAGGCAUAAAAUUUGAGAAAAGACAAAAAACCUGUGUCAUGUGACACAGAAGAUCACGGUCACAUGGCAGGGUGCCACAAACAGCAGCGGUGGCAGUGACUCAUGCAGUCAGCCCUGCCCGGGGCCGCUGGGUGCCCACCGUGGUGACAGCACCCGGGACUUCCUGCUGGAAUCACACAGCAUCACUCACCAACUUCUAGGCCGAAAAACAAAACCAAACCACAAACGAAAACUAAGACAGCAGGUCCUACCAGAGGGAGAUGCGACGUACACUGUAGGAACGGAGUUCUGACCCACUUUGGUCCUGACCUCUUACAAAGAUGGCGCCCCCCGGCGUGGCACGAUUCCCGCCUCUUCCAGCGUUCUCUCCAGCAGCGCAGCAACGCACUUGCCCGAUGACCUCCCGCUGCGAGAUACAGGCGGGAGCCUCACCGCACAGAGACGGCCCCACCGCGGGGCGCGCACGUCGCCUCCAGGGCCUCCUCCAGUCCUCAUCUUCUCCUUGGGAGUUCGGGUGCCCUGUGACACGAGCACCUCCCAUUCUCCCGGAAAACCUUCCGCAGGAUUUGGGCCACUUCCGGAUGUUUUUGCUCCAGGAGUGCCACAGAGCGCCUCUCCCGUAGCUGGAGUUAACAGACGGGGCCAGCGCCAGGAACACAUGAAUUUGGGGUCAACCCCGGGAAGCCGGGAAGGCAAAGCCUGGGGACUCUCUCAGGAGGUCGGGACACAGAACAGGCUUAGCAGCUGCGGGACCCGCGCUUGGCCAUUUUUAUCUUGCUGAAAAUGUUUGCAGCACAGUUCAGGCAUGUCCUGUGCCUCCAGCUGGCUGUCCUUCCAUGUGGUGAGGCAUCGCACACACCUGGGCACAGAUGCACCCCAUCCUUCUCUGCAACCUGUGGUCGGGGAGCCGGAGGCAGAGAAGGGCCAUGGGUGGCGAUUUGCUUUCUACAACAACUGGAAGGGCAGAAAGUGAUUCCAAACAUGACUUACAGCAAUGUUGUGAACUUAAUCUCAAAAAGCUCCAGAAAACUUGUUACUAGCAUGACAAAGUCAUCUCUGAAAACCAACCAUCCAUUGUCAAUGAGAAAAACGCACAAAAUUUGAGGAAAGACAAAGAAAGCACUUGUUAGUGUUUUUCUGGAAAAAAAAAAUCCCUUCUUGCCCAAGAGUAAUAUAUGUUCAUUAUAGAGCUUUUUAAACUUCGAGGAAGUAAAAAAAUUGAAAUGAAAACUGUCCACAUUUCUUUUGCCCAGAGAUGGCCACUGUCAGCACUGUUGCAAGCCCUGCUCUCUCUCCUCUCCUUUUCUGUACGUACGUGUACUUUUAAAAAUAAACAUAGGCGUUUUCAUUCCUCUUAAAAGAUAUGAAAUUUCCUAAUAGAAAAUAAACUUAGUCUUCUCUUUAAAAUGUUUACUCAAAAAUUUUAUCUUACACAUUUGUAUCGGAUAUGCAUGUGUAUAAAUAUUACUGAUGAAUUGUCAAUAACGAAAAAUGAAUUUUCAGUAAAGACAACAUUUUAACCUUCCUUUUCUUGUUUGUUGCUCUUUUG
This 2240-nucleotide long non-coding RNA is filed under the name Homo sapiens (human). RNAcentral describes it as "HSALNT0253743". Lineage: Eukaryota; Metazoa; Chordata; Mammalia; Primates; Hominidae. The record is from RNAcentral.